This 497-nucleotide ribosomal RNA is filed under the name uncultured bacterium. RNAcentral's name for it is "partial 16S ribosomal RNA". It matches the Rfam family "Bacterial small subunit ribosomal RNA", at positions 28 to 507 of the family's 1533-position model. The record is from RNAcentral.
GAUGAACGCUGGCGGCGUGCCUAAUACAUGCAAGUCGAGCGAACAGACGAGGAGCUUGCUCCUCUGACGUUAGCGGCGGACGGGUGAGUAACACGUGGAUAACCUACCUAUAAGACUGGGAUAACUUCGGGAAACCGGAGCUAAUACCGGAUAAUAUAUUGAACCGCAUGGUUCAAUAGUGAAAGACGGUUUUGCUGUCACUUAUAGAUGGAUCCGCGCCGCAUUAGCUAGUUGGUAAGGUAACGGCUUACCAAGGCAACGAUGCGUAGCCGACCUGAGAGGGUGAUCGGCCACUCUGGAACAGAGCCACGGUCCAGACUCCUACGGGAGGCAGCAGUAGGGAAUCUUCCGCAAUAGGCGAAAGCCUGACGGAGCAACGCCGCGUGAGUGAUGAAGGUCUUCGGAUAGUAAAGCUCUGUUAUUAGGGAAGAACAAAUGUGUAAGUAACUAUGCACGUCUUGACGGUACCUAAUCAGAAAGCCACGGCUAACUACGUG